UGGGCAACCUGCCCUCAGCUCUGGGAUAACCCCGGGAAACCGGGGCUAAUACCGGAUACGACCUCCACGGGCAUCUGUGGAAGUGGAAAGGGUUUCCGGCUGAGGAUGGGCCCGCGGCCUAUCAGCUUGUUGGUGGGGUGACGGCCCACCAAGGCGACGACGGGUAGCCGGCCUGAGAGGGUGACCGGCCACACUGGGACUGAGACACGGCCCAGACUCCUACGGGAGGCA
RNAcentral lists this ribosomal RNA (231 nucleotides) under uncultured bacterium. RNAcentral's name for it is "partial 16S ribosomal RNA". It matches the Rfam family "Bacterial small subunit ribosomal RNA", at positions 118 to 350 of the family's 1533-position model. The record is from RNAcentral.